CUGUGUUGUUUUGUAGACAUUACAACUGUAUUCUGUUACUUUCCGGUUUUUAACAUUUCAUUCAUGAGAUACAGGAUACAAAAGAUUACAGAAGACUCUGGGACACACGAAGGCUUAUUCAUUUGAUGAACGUCACUGAUGUCAUGAACCACAGCAGUGAAGACUGAGGAAACUUGAGAUAUAAAACAUGUUCAGCCUGCACAGGACAGAAAGAUCUCAGGUGGAACACUACUUCUUCAACAUGAUUGGUGCUCCAUGUGAGUCAUGGCUGCUGCGUUCAGCUCAUUACCCUCAGGGCCAAAUGAGAGAUGGCACCAGGCAUACAGAAGAAAGAAAACUGUGUGCAAAGAAGUUACCAUACUGGAAAGAAGCACUUGAAAUCAAAAGGUUGAUUUAUAUCCCUGUGGGCUGAUACUCUAGAUACAUUUGCAGAAGAGAAAAAAUAAAACCUUAUCCUAACUCAGCCUUGUUGGGACCAGGCUAGGGUUACUCAGCAUGUCAGCUGUAUUACUGCAGGAUAGUAGGAACUGGCACCUGCUCAGAAACCCAAAUUGUUCGAAGCAGAUCUUUC
Molecule: long non-coding RNA, 571 nt
Organism: Athene cunicularia (burrowing owl)
Lineage: Eukaryota; Metazoa; Chordata; Aves; Strigiformes; Strigidae
Exons: 3
Source: RefSeq, a predicted model, not a curated record